UACGUAGGUGGCAAGCGUUGUCCGGAAUUAUUGGGCGUAAAGCGCGCGCAGGCGGUCCUUUAAGUCUGAUGUGAAAGCCCACGGCUCAACCGUGGAGGGUCAUUGGAAACUGGGGGACUUGAGUGCAGGAGAGAAGAGUGGAAUUCCACGUGUAGCGGUGAAAUGCGUAGAGAUCGUAAGGAAGACCAGUGGCGAAGGCGAGUUUCUGGACGGUAACUGACGCUGAGGCACGAAGGCCAGGGGAGCAAACGGG
This 253-nucleotide ribosomal RNA is filed under the name uncultured bacterium. RNAcentral's name for it is "partial 16S ribosomal RNA". It matches the Rfam family "Bacterial small subunit ribosomal RNA", at positions 524 to 776 of the family's 1533-position model. The record is from RNAcentral.